AGUGAACGCUGGCGGCGUGCCUAAUACAUGCAAGUCGAACGAUGAAGCUUCUAGCUUGCUAGAAGUGGAUUAGUGGCGCACGGGUGAGUAAGGUAUAGUUAAUCUGCCCUACACAAGAGGACAACAGUUGGAAACGACUGCUAAUACUCUAUACUCCUGCUUAACACAAGUUGAGUAGGGAAAGUUUUUCGGUGUAGGAUGAGACUAUAUAGUAUCAGCUAGUUGGUAAGGUAAUGGCUUACCAAGGCUAUGACGC
This 256-nucleotide ribosomal RNA is filed under the name Campylobacter coli. Its description in RNAcentral is "partial 16S rRNA". It matches the Rfam family "Bacterial small subunit ribosomal RNA", at positions 29 to 282 of the family's 1533-position model. Lineage: Bacteria; Pseudomonadati; Campylobacterota; Epsilonproteobacteria; Campylobacterales; Campylobacteraceae. RNAcentral also lists the same sequence under 2 other names. The record is from RNAcentral.